This 68-nucleotide transfer RNA is filed under the name Marmota monax (woodchuck). It matches the Rfam family "tRNA". From Rfam's summary of the family: Transfer RNA (tRNA) molecules are approximately 80 nucleotides in length. Their secondary structure includes four short double-helical elements and three loops (D, anti-codon, and T loops). The record is from Rfam by way of RNAcentral. Lineage: Eukaryota; Metazoa; Chordata; Mammalia; Rodentia; Sciuridae.
GUGGUGGCUUAGUGUUAGAGCGCUCGCCUGGCAUGCAGGAGGUCUUGAGGUCGAUUCUCAACACCACA